Molecule: long non-coding RNA, 1359 nt
Organism: Loxodonta africana (African savanna elephant)
Lineage: Eukaryota; Metazoa; Chordata; Mammalia; Proboscidea; Elephantidae
Exons: 2
Source: RefSeq, a predicted model, not a curated record
GUGGGGCGGGGGUGGGGGUGAGAACAGUAAGAAGAGGAACUGGUCUAUGGGAGAGUGGAGGGUAGAGAUCCCAAACAUGACUGCAAGUUUUACUUGGGCCUGUGCGCUUCACCAAAGAGAGAGAAAUAGCUCCUCAGUUGCUUGAAAAGAAAAUGUAAUAGGUUCUAUUUUAGACUUCUUAAUUGUCUGUGUUUUGGAGGACCAAAGAAGACAAAUAAUUCUGCACCCAGCAAGAGGAGAUAAUGAGUGCACAGAGUUUAAUGCACGAUUUCCUGUUUUAAAACAAAUGAACAUACUCAAAAUAAAAAAAAAUUAAAAGUACAGAGGCUUUGCAUUGCUAUUAUUCAAGUGAAAAAAAAGAAAAUAGAAAAAAUAAAAAUGAUUUAAACACAAAGAGGGAAAUUGAAGAUGAAGAAAGUAUAGAAUAAAUUCAAGUUCAAAUGAAUCUGGAUGCACUCCGUGGCCCUCAGUCUGCAGGCUUCUGAGGUGGGCUCAUCCAAAUAGUCAGAAAAGCUGGCCCCUGGAGAAGAGAGCAGCUAGCACUGAACAGGACACUUGUGCCGGGGUCUUUCAGACUUUGUCUGUCUAAUCCCUUGCUAUUUAAAGUGUGGUCCUGGACCAGCAGCCAGGGCAUAAAGAAUGCAGAUUCCCACUUUGGUGAGUGGUGUUCUGGGGUCUUAAACACUAGCAAGUGGCCAUCUAAGAUGCUUCAAUUGGUCUCAACCCAUCUGGAGCAAAGGAGAUUGAAGAACGCCAAAGACACAAGGUAAUUAGGAGCCCGAGACAGAAAGGGACACAUAAACCAGAGACUAUAUCAGCCUGAGACCAGAAGAACUAGAUUGUGCCCAGCUACAACUGAUGAUUGCCCUCACAGGGAACAAAAAAGAGAAUCCCUGAGGGAGCAGGAGAGCGGUGCAACACAGACCUCAAAUUCUCGUGGAAAGACCGGACUUAAUGGUCUGAUUGAGACUAGAAGGAGCCUGCAGGUCGUGGUUCCCAGACCUUCUGUUAGCCCAAGACAGGAACCAUUCCCAAAACCAACUCUUCAGACAGGGAUUGGACUGGACCGUGGUAUAGAAAAUGAUUCUGGCGAAGAAUGAGCUUCUUGGAUCAAGUAGAUGCAUGAGACUAUGUGUGUAGCUCCUGUCUGGAGGGGAGAUGAGAGGGGCGAGGGGGUCAGAAGCUGGCCAAAUGGACAUGAAAAUAGAGGGUGCUGUCUCAUUAGGGGGAGAGCAACUAGGAGCAACCAGAAGUAUACAGCAAGGUGUGUAUAAAUUUUUGUAUGAGAGACUGACUUGAUUUGUAAACUUUUACUUAAAGCACAAUAAAAAUUAAAAAAAAAAAAAAAGGGACGCAAAA